AACGAACGCUGGCGGCAUGCCUAACACAUGCAAGUCGAACGAGACCUUCGGGUCUAGUGGCGCACGGGUGCGUAACGCGUGGGAACCUGCCCUUAGGUUCGGAAUAACUCCCCGAAAGGGGUGCUAAUACCGGAUAAUGUCUUCGGACCAAAGAUUUAUCGCCUUUGGAUGGGCCCGCGUUGGAUUAGCUAGUUGGUAGGGUAAAAGCCUACCAAGGCGACGAUCCAUAGCUGGUCUGAGAGGAUGAUCAGCCACACUGGGACUGAGACACGGCCCAGACUCCUACGGGAAGCAGCAGUGGGGAAUAUUGGACAAUGGGCGAAAGCCUGAUCCAGCAUUGCCGCGUGAGUGAUGAAGGCCUUAGGGUUGUAAAGCUCUUUUACCCGGGAUGAUAAUGACAGUACCGGGAGAAUAAGCUCCGGCUAACUCCGUG
Molecule: ribosomal RNA, 433 nt
Filed under: uncultured bacterium
Lineage: Bacteria
Description: partial 16S ribosomal RNA
Rfam family: Bacterial small subunit ribosomal RNA
Source: RNAcentral